GCCAGUGUAGCUCAGUUGGUCAGAGCAGCUGAUUUGUAAUCAGCAGGUCGUGGGUUCGAAUCCCUCCACCGGCUCCA
Molecule: transfer RNA, 77 nt
Filed under: Ancylomarina euxina
Lineage: Bacteria; Pseudomonadati; Bacteroidota; Bacteroidia; Marinilabiliales; Marinifilaceae
Description: Ancylomarina sp. M1P tRNA-Thr
Rfam family: tRNA
About the family: Transfer RNA (tRNA) molecules are approximately 80 nucleotides in length. Their secondary structure includes four short double-helical elements and three loops (D, anti-codon, and T loops).
Source: RNAcentral